Molecule: unclassified non-coding RNA, 89 nt
Filed under: Pseudomonas thivervalensis
Lineage: Bacteria; Pseudomonadati; Pseudomonadota; Gammaproteobacteria; Pseudomonadales; Pseudomonadaceae
Source: RNAcentral
UGUGGGAGCGAGCCUGCUCGCGAUAGCAUUCUGACAGGCAACUCAUCUAUGACUGUCAGGCCGCUAUCGCGAGCAGGCUCGCUCCCACA